This 478-nucleotide ribosomal RNA is filed under the name uncultured bacterium. RNAcentral's name for it is "partial 16S ribosomal RNA". It matches the Rfam family "Bacterial small subunit ribosomal RNA", at positions 28 to 523 of the family's 1533-position model. The record is from RNAcentral.
GACGAACGCUGGCGGCGUGCUUAACACAUGCAAGUCGAGCGAUGAAGCUCCUUCGGGAGUGGAUUAGCGGCGGACGGGUGAGUAACACGUGGGUAACCUGCCUCAUAGAGGGGAAUAGCCUCUCGAAAGGAAGAUUAAUACCGCAUAAGAUUGUAGCUUCGCAUGAAGCAGCAAUUAAAGGAGUAAUCCGCUAUGAGAUGGACCCGCGUCGCAUUAGCUAGUUGGUGAGGUAACGGCUCACCAAGGCGACGAUGCGUAGCCGACCUGAGAGGGUGGUCGGCCACAUUGGGACUGAGACACGGCCCAGACUCCUACGGGAGGCGGCAGUGGGGAAUAUUGCACAAUGGGGGAAACCCUGAUGCAGCAACGCCGCGUGAGUGAUGACGGUCUUCGGAUUGUAAAGCUCUGUCUUCAGGGACGAUAAUGACGGUACCUGAGGAGGAAGCCACGGCUAACUACGUGCCAGCCGCCGCCGUAA